Molecule: ribosomal RNA, 464 nt
Filed under: uncultured bacterium
Lineage: Bacteria
Description: partial 16S ribosomal RNA
Rfam family: Bacterial small subunit ribosomal RNA
Source: RNAcentral
CUACGGGAGGCUCCAGUGAGGAAUUUUGCGCAAUGGGGGAAACCCUGACGCAGCAACGCCGCGUGAGCGAAGAAGGCCUUCGGGUCGUAAAGCUCUGUCAAGUGGGAAAAAAAUUCUUUGAUGAACAGUCAAAGGACUUGAUGGUACCACUGGAGGAAGCACCGGCUAACUCCGUGCCAGCAGCCGCGGUAAUACGGAGGGUGCAAGCGUUGUUCGGAAUUACUGGGCGUAAAGAGCGUGUAGGCGGUUUGACAAGUCAGAUGUGAAAGCCCCGGGCUCAACCCGGGAAGUGCAUUUGAAACUGUUUCACUAGAGUAUGGGAGAGGAGAUUGGAAUUCCUGGUGUAGAGGUGAAAUUCGUAGAUAUCAGGAGGAACACCCGUGGCGAAGGCGAUUCUCUGGACCAAUACUGACGCUGAGACGCGAAAGCGUGGGGAGCAAACAGGAUUAGAUACCCCUGUAGUC